GAUGAACGCUGGCGGCGUGCCUAAUACAUGCAAGUAGAACGCUGAAGCUUGGUGCUUGCACCGAGCGGAUGAGUUGCGAACGGGUGAGUAACGCGUAGGUAACCUGCCUGGUAGCGGGGGAUAACUAUUGGAAACGAUAGCUAAUACCGCAUAACAGUAGAUAUUGCAUGAUAUCUGCUUGAAAGGGGCAAUUGCUCCACUACCAGAUGGACCUGCGUUGUAUUAGCUAGUUGGUGAGGUAACGGCUCACCAAGGCGACGAUACAUAGCCGACCUGAGAGGGUGAUCGGCCACACUGGGACUGAGACACGGCCCAGACUCCUACGGGAGGCAGCAGUAGGGAAUCUUCGGCAAUGGACGGAAGUCUGACCGAGCAACGCCGCGUGAGUGAAGAAGGUUUUCGGAUCGUAAAGCUCUGUUGUAAGAGAAGAACGAGUGUGAGAGUGGAAAGUUCACACUGUGACG
This 464-nucleotide ribosomal RNA is filed under the name Streptococcus sp. oral taxon 066. RNAcentral describes it as "bacterial SSU rRNA". It matches the Rfam family "Bacterial small subunit ribosomal RNA", at positions 28 to 474 of the family's 1533-position model. Lineage: Bacteria; Bacillati; Bacillota; Bacilli; Lactobacillales; Streptococcaceae. The record is from RNAcentral.